CCUACGGGUGGCAGCAGUGAGGAAUAUUGGUCAAUGGGCGGGAGCCUGAACCAGCCAAGUCGCGUGAGGGAAGACGGUCCUAUGGAUUGUAAACCUCUUUAGGCGGGGAGCAAUGCCGGGCACGCGUGCCCGGAGGGAGAGUACCCGCAGAAUAGGCAUCGGCUACCUCCGUGCCAGCAGCCGCGGUAAUACGGGGGAUGCGGGCGUUAUCCGGAUUUAUUGGGUUUAAAGGGUGCGUAGGCGGAUGUUUAAGUCAGCGGUAAAAUGUCCGGGCUCAACCCUGGAACUGCGUUUGAAACUGUUCUUCUUGAGUGAAGGAGAGGAAGGCGGAAUUCCGGGUGUAGCGGUGAAAUGCGUAGAUAUACGGAGGAACACCAGUGGCGAAGGAGGCCUGCUGGACAUUAACUGACGCUGAGGCGCGAAAGCGUGGGGAGCAAACAGGAUUAGAUACCCGAGUAGUC
This 461-nucleotide ribosomal RNA is filed under the name uncultured bacterium. Its description in RNAcentral is "partial 16S ribosomal RNA". It matches the Rfam family "Bacterial small subunit ribosomal RNA", at positions 338 to 795 of the family's 1533-position model. The record is from RNAcentral.